AUGCCAUUAACCUUCUGUUGAGAACCGCUACUGGGCUCAAGGAGACGAGCAAAUUCCUUGUUGCUAGGAAACGGUAACCAAAACACACCGUUUUAGUCACCAUGUGCACAACUGGAAGGAAGGCAAUCAUUUCAUAGUCUGUGAAGGUAUGACUCAGUAGCAACGGUAACCACUGCGAUGAAGACUUAAGACCAAAGACAAACAGAAGGGCACUUUGGGGAGUGCCUUAAAUAAUCCAGUUAGUAAAGAUGACAUGAAUUGC
This is a long non-coding RNA of Xiphophorus couchianus (Monterrey platyfish), 262 nucleotides long. RefSeq lists it as uncharacterized. The record is from RefSeq and is a predicted model, not a curated record. The transcript is spliced from 2 exons. Lineage: Eukaryota; Metazoa; Chordata; Actinopteri; Cyprinodontiformes; Poeciliidae.